GUGUUGUAUGAAAGGAGAGGAGGUAAGUACUCCCCUUGACGAGGAUAGAAGAGGCUCUUGGGCCUGAUAACAUGAUAUGGUUAAGGCAUUGCCAACUACUUCAAGGCAUCUAACCAUUGUUUUUU
RNAcentral lists this non-coding RNA (125 nucleotides) under Carlito syrichta (Philippine tarsier). Lineage: Eukaryota; Metazoa; Chordata; Mammalia; Primates; Tarsiidae. The record is from RNAcentral.